CUUUGCCCUUCCUACUCACUCCCCUUUAUAAUCUGCCCCAGGAAAGGUAGGAGCCCCAAGCUGAGCCCAACUGGGCAGAGGAUCCUCCUCCCAUCAUCACUGGUUUCCUCUCCUUCAUCAUGGACCAUUGCUCCUAGGGGAGCUCAGUCUUGGGAGUAAAGAUGGAAGCAAAGAAGAUAUUUAGCAGCUCUGCCUUUUCUGCAUCCUCAGUUCUCAGGCUGCCUUCUCACUCAGCAGUGGGCCCACACCUGCCCUACUCUUCCUUUUACUACUGGUGUAUUUGAAGAAGCCUUUCUUGUUCACUGAUGGAGUUGUACAGCUAUUGGAACUUGAAAUAGUGGGAUAUAAGCCAUGGGCAGGUGAGAGUGCAGGAGCUCAGAAGUACUGAGUUAAGAUAAAACAGAAGGUUGGAAUGUCCUUAGAGAAUGGUGUAACAAAUGUAAGGCUGGAGCCUGUGGUUUUUGCCUGUCUCUGCUGACUUAGAUUGCUUAGGCACAGUGUAUUUGUUGUUGAGAGAAUAUGAUGGAUGUCUACACCAAUUAGUAUGUAAUUUCUAGUGCAAGUACCUGUAACCAACUGCAGUUUAAUACAAUUUGUAGCCUUCUGAUGAAAGGUAUAGAAACACAGGUUUGGAAUGCAAUAAACGGAUUGGCUUGCA
Pogoniulus pusillus (Red-fronted tinkerbird) is the source of this 658-nucleotide long non-coding RNA. RefSeq lists it as uncharacterized. The transcript has 2 exons. Lineage: Eukaryota; Metazoa; Chordata; Aves; Piciformes; Lybiidae. The record is from RefSeq and is a predicted model, not a curated record.